AUAUCCUAAGUGUGGUACUAUAAUAAGGAAACCAGGAUCUGAUGAUGGGAUCCCAGAGAAAUCGAGGGAAACCCUCAAAAAUCCGCAUAACUUUUUACUGGGUGCAUCGAUUUUGAUGAUUUUUAAUUUAAUCGAAAGCCGAUGUUUAUCAUGUGUCACAUUUAAAUUUCAUCAAGAUCUGAUUACAACUUUUGGAGUAAUCUUUGAUAAUGCGUAUUUACUUGACUAUUUUUUCGUCUACCUACGUUGUAUUACUUGUCGAUAUAAUUGAAGUCGGUUUUUCUUCGUUUGCCUGCAAACACAAUUAUUAUUUG
RNAcentral lists this unclassified non-coding RNA (314 nucleotides) under Melitaea cinxia (Glanville fritillary). Its description in RNAcentral is "misc RNA ENSMCXG00005011817.1". The record is from RNAcentral. Lineage: Eukaryota; Metazoa; Arthropoda; Insecta; Lepidoptera; Nymphalidae.